GACGAACGCUGGCGGCGUGCUUAACACAUGCAAGUCGAACGGAAAGGCCCUGCUUGCCGGGUACUCGAGUGGCGAACGGGUGAGUAACACGUGGGUGAUCUGCCCUGCACUUCGGGAUAAGCCUGGGAAACUGGGUCUAAUACCGGAUAGGAGCCAUUUUUAGUGUGAUGGUUGGAAAGUUUUUUCGGUGUAGGAUGAGCUCGCGGCCUAUCAGCUUGUUGGUGGGGUAAUGGCCUACCAAGGCGGCGACGGGUAGCCGGCCUGAGAGGGUGGACGGCCACAUUGGGACUGAGAUACGGCCCAGACGCCUACGGGAGGCAGCAGUGGGGAAUAUUGCACAAUGGGCGCAAGCCUGAUGCAGCGACGCCGCGUGGGGGAUGACGGCCUUCGGGUUGUAAACGCCGUUCGCUAGGGACGAAGCUUUUUGUGACGGUACCUAGAGAAGAAGCACCGGCUAACUACGUG
This 465-nucleotide ribosomal RNA is filed under the name uncultured bacterium. Its description in RNAcentral is "partial 16S ribosomal RNA". It matches the Rfam family "Bacterial small subunit ribosomal RNA", at positions 28 to 507 of the family's 1533-position model. The record is from RNAcentral.